GUAGGUGAACCUGCGGAAGGAUCAUUUAUAAUUCUAAUAAAUGUUCUUCUAGAAUUUUAAGUUCAUAAAAAAGAAGUUUUCUUCUUUUUUAUAUGUUUGCCUAUUUCUAGGUUUUAAUUCGUUAAAUAAUUACCUAAAUAUCUUAAAUUUUCAACGAUGGAUAUCUAGGCUCCUAUAACGAUGAAGAACGCAGCGAAAUGCGAUACGCAAUGCGAAUUGCAGAACCGCGAGUCAUCAGAUUUUUGAACGCAAGUGGCGGUGGUUUCGGCCAUCAUGUUUGUUUCAGUGUGUUCGGUUAAUUACAUCAUAGAAUUAUAUGUGACUGAAGAAAUUCUUUCACUUUAAUAUGAAGUAAUGUCAACUAAAACAUUAAAUGAACAGGCAACAAUAUGUUGAUAACAUUUAAGUGUUUCCUAGUUGUAAAAAACCAUUACUUAUCGUAAUAAUCUAUCCAAUAAUAACACCUGAAAUAAGCAAGAAUACCCGCUGAACUUAAGCAUAUCAG
RNAcentral lists this ribosomal RNA (505 nucleotides) under Zoothamnium sp. 4 JI13062001. RNAcentral describes it as "eukaryotic LSU rRNA". The stretch from base 146 to 291 matches the Rfam family "5.8S ribosomal RNA". Lineage: Eukaryota; Ciliophora; Oligohymenophorea; Sessilida; Zoothamnidae. The record is from RNAcentral.